RNAcentral lists this ribosomal RNA (448 nucleotides) under uncultured bacterium. Its description in RNAcentral is "bacterial SSU rRNA". It matches the Rfam family "Bacterial small subunit ribosomal RNA", at positions 355 to 825 of the family's 1533-position model. The record is from RNAcentral.
CAGGGAAUCUUGCACAAUGGGCGAAAGCCUGAUGCAGCGACGCCGCGUGGGGGAUGAAGGCCUUAGGGUCGUAAACCCCUUUCAGCAGGGACGAAAAUGACGGUACCUGCAGAAGAAGCCCCGGCCAACUAUGUGCCAGCAGCCGCGGUAAGACGUAGGGGGCGAGCGUUGUCCGGAUUUAUUGGGCGUAAAGAGCUCGUAGGCGGUUGCGUAAGUCGGAUGUGAAAACUCAGGGCUCAACCCUGAGACGCCAUCCGAUACUGCGCUGACUUGAAUCCAGUAGGGGAGUGUGGAAUUCCUGGUGUAGCGGUGAAAUGCGCAGAUAUCAGGAGGAACACCCAUGGCGAAGGCAGCACUCUGGGCUGGUAUUGACGCUGAGGAGCGAAAGCAUGGGUAGCGAACAGGAUUAGAUACCCCUGUAGUCCCUGAGCGGGCUGGCAAGGCGCAU